GCUACGGCUUGGUCACUGUUACCAGGCAACAGCGGAAGUGGUAGGAGGCUACGUCAUAGUAGCCUCCCACGUGACCGGAGUUCAGGGGAGCCGCGGCUUCCGGCCUCGGGACGCCGGCGAGCGCGAACGGACGAGGAUGAUCUCACUCACAUCCAGAUUUUUAGCAAAACAUGUCCAUAUUGUUUAAUCUACUUAUGACAAUUAUAAACAUUGCAAGAUUGUAAAAACUUUAAGUUGCUGACUUGCAUCCAUAAACUGCCUGCAGCCAUGUAUGCUGCAGUAGACCUUUUUGGCUAGAUGCACCAUCGCUUGGAAAGUGAGAACAUGGAGAGUGAUAAACUACCAGUGGUAGCGGAGCAAGGCAAGUUGCCUGAAGUGUGGCAAGUGAAGCAGUAUACU
Molecule: long non-coding RNA, 399 nt
Organism: Pseudophryne corroboree (corroboree frog)
Lineage: Eukaryota; Metazoa; Chordata; Amphibia; Anura; Myobatrachidae
Exons: 3
Source: RefSeq, a predicted model, not a curated record